Molecule: ribosomal RNA, 552 nt
Filed under: [Candida] sp. LCF-55
Lineage: Eukaryota; Fungi; Ascomycota; Saccharomycetes; Saccharomycetales
Also listed under: 1 other name
Description: eukaryotic LSU rRNA
Rfam family: 5.8S ribosomal RNA (bases 176-329)
Source: RNAcentral
AGCGCUUAACUGCGCGGCGAGAACUAAACCUUACACACUGUGUUUUUUAUUAUAAAACCAUUGCUUUGGCUUGGCCGAAAGGUUGGGCCAGAGAAUUUGAAAAACUUCAAUUUUUAUUGAAUUGUUAUUUUAAUGUUUUGUCAAUUUGUUUGAUUAAUUUCAAAAUAAUCUUCAAAACUUUCAACAACGGAUCUCUUGGUUCUCGCAUCGAUGAAGAACGCAGCGAAAUGCGAUAAGUAAUAUGAAUUGCAGAUUUUCGUGAAUCAUCGAAUCUUUGAACGCACAUUGCGCCCUUUGGUAUUCCAAAGGGCAUGCCUGUUUGAGCGUCAUUUCUCUCUCAAACCUUUGGGUUUGGUAUUGAGUGAUACUCUUAGUCGGACUAGGCGUUUGCUUGAAAUGUAUCGGCAUGAGUGCGCUGGAUAGUACGUUCUGAUUAUUCAAUGUAUUAGGUUUAUCCAACUCGUUGAAGGAUUAGGUGUAAAUUUCUGGUAGCUUUUGCUCGGCCUUACAACAACAAACAAGUUUGACCUCAAAUCAGGUAAGAUUACCCGC